Molecule: ribosomal RNA, 497 nt
Filed under: uncultured bacterium
Lineage: Bacteria
Description: partial 16S ribosomal RNA
Rfam family: Bacterial small subunit ribosomal RNA
Source: RNAcentral
GACGAACGCUGGCGGCGUGCCUAAUACAUGCAAGUUGAGCGAUGAAGCUUGGUGCUUGCACCAAUUUGCAGAGCAGCGAACGGGUGAGUAACGCGUGGGGAAUCUGCCUUUGAGCGGGGGACAACAUGUGGAAACGAAUGCUAAUACCGCAUAACAACUUUAAACAUAAGUUUUAAGUUUGAAAGAUGCAGUUGCAUCACUCAAAGAUGAUCCCGCGUUGUAUUAGCUAGUUGGUGAGGUAAAGGCUCACCAAGGCGAUGUUACAUAGCAGACCGGAGUGGAGGGUCAGCCACCUUGGGACGGAGACACGGCCCAAAGGCCUACGGGAGGCAGCAGGAGGGCAACGUCGGCAAUGGACGAAAGUCUGACCGAGCAACGCCGCGGGAGGGAAGAGGGUUGUCGGAUCGUAAAACUCUGUUGGUAGAGAAGAACGUUGGUGAGAGUGGAAAGCUCAGCAAGUGACGGUAACUACCCAGAAAGGGACGGCUAACUACGUG